AUCCCUUCGCAGGCGAUAUCAUAGCCUAUGAGGUCUAGCCGAGGCGUGAUUAUUGGGUUGAAACUUACCCAAUACCCCGCCGGGACGACUUGCAAUACAGUCGGCCUGGCAAUUUUGAUAGUCUCGUCAGAGA
This 133-nucleotide small nuclear RNA is filed under the name Esox lucius (northern pike). RNAcentral's name for it is "U4 spliceosomal RNA". It matches the Rfam family "U4 spliceosomal RNA". Rfam says of the family: U4 small nuclear RNA (U4 snRNA) is a component of the major U2-dependent spliceosome. The structure of U4 snRNA from yeast and human has been reported. U4 snRNA presents a k-turn RNA motif in the 5p-SL related to recognition of Snu13 protein. Lineage: Eukaryota; Metazoa; Chordata; Actinopteri; Esociformes; Esocidae. The record is from Rfam by way of RNAcentral.